AAGUCUGGCAGUGCGGACACGUCGAAUUGCAAACUCGAAGACGCCGAUUUCCUUCGGCCCGGACU
RNAcentral lists this transfer RNA (65 nucleotides) under Hoplodactylus sp. Southern Alps. RNAcentral's name for it is "tRNA-Cys". The record is from RNAcentral. Lineage: Eukaryota; Metazoa; Chordata; Lepidosauria; Squamata; Diplodactylidae.